Molecule: microRNA precursor, 74 nt
Filed under: Myotis lucifugus (little brown bat)
Lineage: Eukaryota; Metazoa; Chordata; Mammalia; Chiroptera; Vespertilionidae
Description: mir-9229 microRNA precursor family
Rfam family: mir-9229 microRNA precursor family
Source: Rfam by way of RNAcentral
GAGACACCCCUAUGGAGCGGGACUUGCUUCAGUGGGGCUUUGGUGCUCCGAGUCUGCCCCUUGAGUGUGUCACU